GGAGGGAGUCCCUCUGCCUGUCAGGAGUGGGGCAGAGAAAACAAAACCCAUCUGGAUGAAAUAUCACAGAAAACUUUAUAGCUCUAGCAGCUGCUCAGCAGUGGAUCUUGCUCCCUCAGGACACUGGUGUCACGAUUCUGGAGAUCUCAGACCAGUGUAGACCCUUCUUAGUUGGGGUGCCUUAAUCAAAUAAAGGGUGCCAUGAGGGAAGGCGGGGGGGUUACUGGUCUCAGAAAUCCUAUGAUUGGUCUGCCUCAUCUUCCAGCUUUAGUUAUUUACAUGCUUUACCAUAUUUACGCCUUUCCUGUGUGGGGAGACACCCUAUGGCAUCACUUCACUAUUUCUUUGUGCUGUGGUAUGUUCUGUCAGGGUUAAUAGCAUUUAUCUCAAAUGCAUUUGUUUGUGUAUAUAUAUGGCAGACACCAUGCAAAUGAAUUACUAGAGAAGCAAUGUAUCUUAGACACCUGUUAUAUGCACAUUAGCAUUGUCUGAGUUAACAUAAAUAAAUAGGCUCCUGAACUUUUGUGGGUAAAACCCACUUCAUCAGAUGAGUUGGGGUAGAAAUAACUUAAUCCAAGGUAUAUAUUUCUACUCCAACUUAUCUGAGGUCUGUGAAUCUCUAAGGUGCAACUGGCCUACUUAAUUGUCUUUAAAGUUACAGACUAACACAGCUGCCCCUCUUAGUUAACAGAGACAUUCAUACCAUAUCACGUGAGAGGCCAGCAGAAUAAGUCCUGGAUGUAUGUCCCUUGUCUCUAACCGUCCAGAUGAGGAAUUUACUUGUUUUAAAUGUUUUAGUAUUAUAUGGAGACACUUGGAGAAAGGGGACUUCCUACUGACACUUCAGUCCUGAUUUCAGUUUCUGUAGUGAAGAGUUUCUGCUUUAUGCACAUCUGGCUAAACCCUAAAUAUCCAUUUUAUAUGUUCCCAAAUUGAUGUCUAGCUUUGUAUCUUAAAUUCAGUUAGAAACCAAAAUUAAUUGUUUGCGUAUCCCCAUUUUUAUAAAGGCUUCUGUUGUGCUAUCUACAGCUGUGUAAAUUAUAGGUUUGUAUUUGUUUAAACACUGUACAUCUUCACAGCCAGCAUAAUAAAUCUAGGUAUGUUAGAAAUACUUUUCCAAGCAACUGCUCACUGAGGCUGCAUAGAGGUGAGGUGAGAGGAGGAGGAGGUGGUCUUAUCUUGUAAAACUCAUAAAUAAUGACUUCACUUUUUAGAGAAAUGGCUAGCACGGAAUGUCUGUGAUGGGUUGAUAACUUUUAUGUUAUAUUUUAUGCAGUAAAACUUGUAGAAGGUACUAAGUUUUUUGGUACACCAAUCUCUUGAAUUAAUAGUCUGCAACAAAAUGUCUCUAAAUCUCUACUGAAUUAUGCCUCUACUUCAGCUUUAUUAAAAGAUCAUCUGUAUUAAGCAACUGAUUUUGUCAGUUUCUUUAGUGAGUUUUAACUGACAUUGAAAAUCGUACGUAACCUAUAAAUGUUAAUGUAGUGUUUCCAUUAUGAUAUCCAUGGAUAUUUCAUAGUAUCCCUGCCUAACAUGGAAGAUGUUGUAAACCUACAUUCCAAUGCAGUUGAUUCAUUAUUUACUAUUGUGUUGAAACUGUUUUGCUGAAAAUUUAGAGAGAGAUCGAUUUGAUAGGCUAGAGAGUCAUAGGGACUCUUUUGUAAAUAGUUAAAUGUCUUGUUUGCUGCUGGAGAAACAAAGUGGGUGAGGCAUGAUUGUAUAGACCUUGGUCAUAUCCGCUCUUAGUGGUCUCUUUUCCAAGCUAAAAAGUCCCAGUCUUUUUAAUCUCUCCUCAUAGG
Non-coding RNA from Pelodiscus sinensis (Chinese soft-shelled turtle), 1799 nucleotides. The record is from RefSeq and is a predicted model, not a curated record. Lineage: Eukaryota; Metazoa; Chordata; Testudines; Trionychidae.